AGAGGGUGCAAACGUUGCUCGGAUUUACUGGGCGUAAAGCGCGUGUAGGCGGACUCGCAAGCCGGUUGUGAAAUCCCUGGGCUCAACCUAGGAACUGCAUCCGAAACUGCUUGUCUUGAGUAAUGGAGAGGGUGGCGGAAUUCCCGGUGUAGAGGUGAAAUUCGUAGAUAUCGGGAGGAACAUCAGUGGCGAAGGCGGCCACCUGGACAUUUACUGACGCUGAGACGCGAAAGCGUGGGGAGCAAACAGGAUUAGAUACCCUGGUAGUCCACGCCGUAAACGAUGAGAACUAGGUGCAGCGGAUAUUGACCUCUGCUGUGCCGUAGCUAACGCGUUUAAGUUCUCCCGCCUGGGGAGUACGGCCGCAAGGCUA
RNAcentral lists this ribosomal RNA (373 nucleotides) under uncultured organism. Its description in RNAcentral is "partial 16S ribosomal RNA". It matches the Rfam family "Bacterial small subunit ribosomal RNA", at positions 527 to 896 of the family's 1533-position model. The record is from RNAcentral.